GAUGAACGCUGGCGGCGUGCCUAAUACAUGCAAGUCGAGCGAACAGACGAGAGUGCUUGCACUCUCUGACGUUAGCGGCGGACGGGUGAGUAACACGUGGGUAACCUACCUAUAAGACUGGGAUAACUUCGGGAAACCGGAGCUAAUACCGGAUAAUAUUUAGCUUCGCAUGAAGCAAUAGUGAAAGACGGUUCUGCUGUCACUUAUAGAUGGACCCGCGGUGUAUUAGCUAGUUGGUGAGGUAACGGCUCACCAAGGCAACGAUACAUAGCCGACCUGAGAGGGUGAUCGGCCACACUGAGACUGAGACACGGCCCAGACUCCUACGGGAGGCAGCAGUAGGGAAUCUUCCGCAGUGGACGAAAGUCUGACGGAGCAAUGCCGCGUGAGUGAAGAAGGUUUUCGGAUCGUAAAACUCUGUUGUAAGGGAAGAACAAGUACGUUAGUAACUGAACGUACCUUGACGGUACCUUACCAGAAAGCCACGGCUAACUACGUG
This 499-nucleotide ribosomal RNA is filed under the name uncultured bacterium. RNAcentral's name for it is "partial 16S ribosomal RNA". It matches the Rfam family "Bacterial small subunit ribosomal RNA", at positions 28 to 507 of the family's 1533-position model. The record is from RNAcentral.